RNAcentral lists this ribosomal RNA (618 nucleotides) under uncultured bacterium. Its description in RNAcentral is "bacterial SSU rRNA". It matches the Rfam family "Bacterial small subunit ribosomal RNA", at positions 338 to 958 of the family's 1533-position model. The record is from RNAcentral.
CCUACGGGAGGCAGCAGUAAGGAAUAUUGGUCAAUGGAGGCAACUCUGAACCAGCCAUGCCGCGUGCAGGAUGAAGGCCCUAUGGGUCGUAAACUGCUUUUACACAAGAGAAAACCCCGGUACGUGUACCGGGUUGAUAGUAUUGUGAGAAUAAGCAUCGGCUAACUUCGUGCCAGCAGCCGCGGUAAGACGAAGGAUGCAAGCGUUAUCCGGAUUCAUUGGGUUUAAAGGGUGCGUAGGCGGACUUGUAAGUCAGUGGUGAAAUCUCUUUGCUUAACAAGAAACUGCCAUUGAUACUGCAGGUCUAGAGUAUAGAUGACGUUGGCGGAAUAUGACAUGUAGUGGUGAAAUACUUAGAUAUGUCAUAGAACACCGAUUGCGAAGGCAGCUAACGAAACUAUAACUGACGCUGAGGCACGAAAGUGCGGGGAUCAAACAGGAUUAGAUACCCUGGUAGUCCGCACCGUAAACGAUGAUUACUCGUUGUUGGCAAUAUGACCGUCAGCGACCAAGCGAAAGCGANAAGUAAUCCACCUGGGGAGUACGCCGGCAACCGGUGAAACGUCAAAGAGUAGUAGGCGUGAGAGAGCGACGGACGGACGACGAGGGAGGGAGGAG